ACUCCACUGGAGUUUCCUAAGUGAGCCUGGGUUAUGGGUUUUCAGUCAUGAAAAGUGAAAAUUCACGGUUGAAAUGCUGGGGCUCUUUCCCUUCAAGUCUGGUCGUAGUUAUAACUUCUGUGCACAAUUUCAUCAAGACACUUUUCCUCAGCUCUGCCCCUCAGGAGGUGUUUUGUUCUCUCUUCUGGUUGUGCUCAGGGGAAGCACAACUGUUUGUUGGUGACAUUUCUGGUGACAUUUCUCCCAUGGGCCCGGUAGCAGAGCUUCAGGUGCCCUCUGCUGCUGUUCAUUCUGUCCUGGUGCAACCUCACCUGAGCAACACUUCCCUUUGGCUUCCUGGUAGGUAGCGUAACCACACCAGACAAUGUGCUUGUACUGCAUCAGAGCAGGUUCAAACCAGAUAUGAGGAAAAGAUUCUUCACCAGAGGGUGCUCCCUGGAAUAGGCUCUGCAGGGCAGUGGGAGUAGCCCCAGGUUGCUGGAGUUCAAGGAGCAUUUGGACGCUGUUCUCGGGCAUAAGUUUUGAAUUUUGAGUGGUCCUUUGUGAAGCUAGAAGCUGGACUCCAAGAUUAUUUUGGGUCUCUUGCAACUCAGGAUGUUCUGUAAUUCUCUGAAAAAUACAUGGCUAUACUAACUUGGUGCUGAAUCAACCCAGCUGAUGGCUUUAAAGAAAUCCUCCAUCAGCCAGAAAGACUGAUUUGUUUGUUGUGAUAGGUGCAUCUGGAGAAAGAGCUGCUGUUACCUAGCAGAGAGAAAAUAAAGAGAAUAACUCGCAAACACGAAAGCAGAACUGUUAAUGCUGCUAGACCAGAAACGUGGUUGGUGUGUAGUACUGGGACACGUGAUGUCCAGGGGAACAAAUUCCCCCUGACUGGAGAGCUAUGAAAUAGAUUUGGAUGAGCCCAUUGGCUCUUAAGUUCAUAAUGGUUCUCACAUGAGUGAUCUUAUAUGUAGCCCAUAUAGCAACAGAACUGGGAAUACAUAAUUAACUUCAGUAUGUUGCAGAUCUUAUGGUCUCUGCACAUUGUUACUAUGGGCAGAUGGCUGUUUGAAUCGAUAAAAUGGUUUUCCAUGUAGAAGAGAAUGAAGGUUUCUCCAGGACAUUUCCAGCCAUUAAAGAGAUAAUUACUGUACUUUGGGAGAAUCUGUGAGCUUUGCAGAAGCAAAAAGGAUCAACCUGGGGUCAAAUAAUGAUUUUGUUGUCAGCCUACUAGCCCUGCAAGCCUUUCAAGACCAGGAAGAUCCUUUGCUUCUUUUUCUCUCUGCCUCCUGCUCCUGCAGGAAGCUUCUAGUCAAAAUCUAAAGAAGGUAAACACAUCCUUUCUGAUCUCUCCAUUUGAAAUUCACCUUUCUCAGGCUGAUAUACAAAUUGUUCUCAUCUGACAUCAGCCAGACUUAGUGGAUAAGCAGGAAUGUCUGCUUUUCCCCCUUCACUUUAUUGUCUGUUCUUCUCAACCCACACUCCCACUUUUAAUCUGUUUUGCCUAGCUGCCACUUCUUGUCUGCCACACAGUGAGGAUGCAAGGCAGUGUCUACCUGCUGAGCACUUUGUUGGUAUGAUCCC
This is a long non-coding RNA of Tympanuchus pallidicinctus (lesser prairie-chicken), 1563 nucleotides long. RefSeq lists it as uncharacterized. NCBI's taxonomy places the organism in Eukaryota, Metazoa, Chordata, Aves, Galliformes, Phasianidae. The transcript is spliced from 3 exons. The record is from RefSeq and is a predicted model, not a curated record.